This is an RNA transcript of Andrographis paniculata, 1526 nucleotides long. It is a transcript of the gene named gamma-glutamyl peptidase 5-like, with no coding region annotated. The record is from RefSeq and is a predicted model, not a curated record. The transcript has 5 exons. NCBI's taxonomy places the organism in Eukaryota, Viridiplantae, Streptophyta, Magnoliopsida, Lamiales, Acanthaceae.
UGAAAUUGAUUAACAAGGUUCUCAAUCAAAUCGCAUUUCGCAGGCCCUCUCUCUCUCGUCUUCCCCGCCUCGAUCCCUUCUCUCUCCCUCGCUCUCGCUCUCGCUCUACACGUAUACAUAAACACACAGAGGGAGCGAGAAUGGGAGGCCAAAAGUUCGCCGUGCUUCUUUGCGCCGAUGACUCGGAUUACGUGAAGAAAAUUUACGGCGGGUAUUAUGGAGUUUUCGUCAGAAUGCUCAAGGAGGAAGGGGAAGAUUGGGACGUAUUUAGGGUAGCGAAAGGCGAGUUUCCUGAUGAAAACGAGAUCGACGGCUACGAUGGUUUCGUCAUCACCGGAAGCUGCAAUGACGCUCACGGAAACGAUAAUUGGAUCUGCAAAUUGCUGAUUCUUCUGAAGAAAUUAGACGCCAUGAAGAAGAAGGUCCUCGGCAUUUGCUUUGGCCAUCAGAUACUGGGGCGAUCAAUUGGAGGAAAAAUCGGCCGGGCGAGUGCAGGAUGGGACAUCGGAAUCACAAAAGUUCAUCUGAAUCCAUCCAAUAUUUUCACUUAUCUGAAAAUGCCUACUUCCCUAUCUGUCAUCGAGUGCCACAGGGACGAGGUGUGGGAGCUCCCCCCUGAAGCAGAAGUUCUUGCGUGGUCGAACAAGACUGGGAUCGAAAUGUUUCAGUGUGGCGACCACAUUCUAGGCAUUCAAGGGCAUCCCGAGUACACAAAGGAUAUUCUUCUACACCUCAUUGACCGUCUGUUCUGCCGCAAUCUUAUUGAGGAGUCUCUUGCUAAAGAUGCGAAACACAAGGUGGAGGCGAGCGAGCCGGAUCGGGAGGCUUGGACGAAACUAUGCACUAGCUUUCUCAAAGGAAGAUUGUGAUGCUGCUGCAUCUAUACAUAUGCAUAAUAAGGUGAUGAAAUUUGAAGAUGUACAUAUUGAUCAAGGUCCAUUUUCACUAUCCAUUUUCACUCAGCUAUAAAUACAUAGAGGGGUGUCGAAUCUAAGCUUUGUUGAAGAUCAGAGUAAGCACAUUAAAUGGUGGAGAGUAUUCAGUUGAAGUUUAUCAUUGUAUCUUCUUUGAUAAGUAUGAGACAAUGGAAAAAAUAGGUGCAAAAGACAUUGAUACAAUGUUGCUAUUAUAAUGAUUACUUGGUUUUUUUGUUUUUUUUUUUUUUUGUAUCACAAUGGGAAAAUCCAUUGAAAAAUUAGGGAUGGAAGAUACUGUUCUGUACUCACAUUUAAUUGAAAUUGGAUUCAAUAAUUCGAGUAUUGAAAUAUGAUGAAUUGUGUAGUUAUAUCUAGUCAAAUCUAGUGUGUCUUUAUACCUAACCCAAAUCUAAAUUUGACAUAUCAAUAAUAUUAAAAAAAAAAAAAAAAAUCUCUAUUAUUGUAAUUAUUAAAAAUCAUUUUUUGUUAAAUUUACUUUAUUUACAUAUAAUGGUUUUAUUAUAUUGCCCCACCAAGAUUAUAUAAAUAUUUUAUUCGACUAUCAACUUAUGCAAUAAUAAAACACUUAUCCACUUGAGAAUAUAACAA